Molecule: ribosomal RNA, 292 nt
Filed under: uncultured bacterium
Lineage: Bacteria
Description: partial 16S ribosomal RNA
Rfam family: Bacterial small subunit ribosomal RNA
Source: RNAcentral
GUGUCAGCAGCCGCGGUAAUACGAACCGUACAAACGUUAUUCGGAAUCACUGGGCUUAAAGGGUGCGUAGGCGGCCAUGUAAGUGAGGUGUGAAAUCCCUCGGCUCAACCGAGGAACUGCGCUUCAUACUGCAUGGCUUGAGGGAGACAGGGGUAAGCGGAACUGAUGGUGGAGCGGUGAAAUGCGUUGAUAUCAUCAGGAACACCGGUGGCGAAAGCGGCUUACUGGGUCUCUUCUGACGCUGAGGUACGAAAGCUAGGGUAGCGAACGGGAUUAGAAACCCUAGUAGUCC